Molecule: non-coding RNA, 26 nt
Filed under: Rattus norvegicus (Norway rat)
Lineage: Eukaryota; Metazoa; Chordata; Mammalia; Rodentia; Muridae
Source: RNAcentral
AAUUAGAUUGAUGCUACCAGGUCCCA